Long non-coding RNA from Triticum urartu, 1387 nucleotides. RefSeq lists it as uncharacterized. The record is from RefSeq and is a predicted model, not a curated record. Lineage: Eukaryota; Viridiplantae; Streptophyta; Magnoliopsida; Poales; Poaceae.
UGAAAGAUGGCAAUUUAUUACUACCUCCGUCCCAAAAUUCUUGUCUUAGAUUUGUCUAGAUACGGAUGUAUCGAAAAUUCUUGUCUUAGAUUUGUCUAGAUACGGAUGUAUCUCCGUAUCUAGACAAAUCUAAGACAAGAAUUUUGGGACGGAGGGAGUAUUAAACAUUGUCAGUACUAACACAUAACCGAAAGAGUGUCGAGUUAAAGAAUGGAAAACUAAAUUCUAUAGUUGUUGCAUGCUGUUUCACCCAAGUAUUCUCCAAAAGUUCACUAAAGUUACAUCGAUGGCAUUGUAUAUUCAAAAUGGAAUCAAUUACAUAAGUAUAACCCAAAGGCGCAGCAUACCAGUACUCCACUGAGGAAGGGGGGAAUCUGAAAUUUGUGCAGAAGAAUCCAGUACAAGGGUACAAAUUCUUGAGUACAUAUCUAGUGCAAACCGUACAUUCAACGGAAACAUGGAAACUUGAUCCGCUGUCGUUGGAUUGGAAAUGUGCGCCGCGAGAUGGGAGUACGUGCAAAUUGCAAAUUGGACCCCGCAAUAAUUCUGUACUUCGGUACAGAAGCAUGCCGAGGCUGAGUCGUCUCAUACCUUUCCCCAUGGCGGCAUCCAAUCCCGAUUCGAGUUCCUACCAUGGGAAGCUAGGGUUAGGAGACGAUGCUUCCCUCCAGCAGGACCCCCUCGUUCCGCUCUGGGCCAGCAAGCGGCCAGCAGCGCGGCUAAAUCCUCUCUGGUGAUUGUCCCGCCAGCAGUGACAGUCCUCCUCCGAGUGUUUCGUGGUGGGCCUGCGGUCAGCGAGCGGCGCAGCUGAUUCCUCUCUGGCGAUUGUCCGGCCAACCGUGCCAGUACUCGUCCGAGUGUUCCCCAACGACGUCGUGCUGGAUCUAGGUCCCCAGGUAUGAGGAUGUCUAGUGUCCAUGUUUUCUGCUUUCCCCUGUUCUCCUCCCGUGGCUCAUCUAGUGGUUCCCUCUUCCCUAGAUUGGGCUAUAGAUUUGCAAAGCAAAUAGACGAGGGGACAAGGUCGUAGCUAAUUGGGUUGUCUCCUCUAGAAUCAGCACAUCCUUUGAAGGAAGUAGGAGAGGGAACGAAGUAGUGGCAUAUUGUCAGCAGAUGCAGAUGUUGGUCUUGAAGAAAUUGGGAAGGUUGCUUGGUGGCAAGAUUUCUGCAAGUUAUUAGGACUAAUAGUACUGCAUUGGUUUUUUCUUCUCCUAGUGUACUAGAACUAGGUGUUGAAUGACUGAUGUACAAAUCCGCAGAUUUGCCAUCACUGUUAAUUACUGUUUUCGGACCAUUAUCUUAACUGAUGUACUUAUGUAUUGAAGUGAUGCAUUAUUGAAUUUGACUGACUCAUAUUGGUGCUACAUAAUCAGCACUAUGUGCAACUGAA